Molecule: transfer RNA, 86 nt
Filed under: Clostridiaceae bacterium
Lineage: Bacteria; Bacillati; Bacillota; Clostridia; Eubacteriales; Clostridiaceae
Description: tRNA-Leu
Rfam family: tRNA
About the family: Transfer RNA (tRNA) molecules are approximately 80 nucleotides in length. Their secondary structure includes four short double-helical elements and three loops (D, anti-codon, and T loops).
Source: RNAcentral
GCAGGAGUGGUGGAACUGGCAGACACGCUAUCUUGAGGGGGUAGUGUACAUCGUGCGUGCGGGUUCAAAUCCCGCCUCCUGCACCA